GUAGAACGCCGAAGAGAGGAGCUUGCUCUUCUUGAAUGAGUUGCGAACGGGUGAGUAACGCGUAGGUAACCUGCCUUGUAGCGGGGGAUAACUAUUGGAAACGAUAGCUAAUACCGCAUAACAAUGGGUGACACAUGUCAUUUAUUUGAAAGGGGCAAUUGCUCCACUACAAGAUGGACCUGCGUUGUAUUAGCUAGUAUGUGAGGUAACGGCUCACCUAGGCGACGAUACAUAGCCGACCUGAGAGGGUGAUCGGCCACACUGGGACUGAGACACGGCCCAGACUCCUACGGGAGGCAGCAGUAGGGAAUCUUCGGCAAUGGGGGCAACCCUGACCGAGCAACGCCGCGUGAGUGAAGAAGGUUUUCGGAUCGUAAAGCUCUGUUGUAAGUCAAGAACGAGUGUGAGAGUGGAAAGUUCACACUGUGACGGUAGCUUACCAGAAGGGGACGGCUAACUACGUGCCAGCAGCCGCGGUAAUACGUAGGUCCCGAGCGUUGUCCGGAUUUAUUGGGCGUAAAGCGAGCGCAGGCGGUUUGAUAAGUCUGAAGUUAAAGGCUGUGGCUCAACCAUAGUUCGCUUUGGAAACUGUCAAACUUGAGUGCAGAAGGGGAGAGUGGAGUUCCAUGUGUAGCGGUGAAAUGCGUAGAUAUAUGGAGG
Molecule: ribosomal RNA, 660 nt
Filed under: uncultured Bacilli bacterium
Lineage: Bacteria; Bacillati; Bacillota; Bacilli
Description: bacterial SSU rRNA
Rfam family: Bacterial small subunit ribosomal RNA
Source: RNAcentral